Molecule: ribosomal RNA, 253 nt
Filed under: uncultured bacterium
Lineage: Bacteria
Description: partial 16S ribosomal RNA
Rfam family: Bacterial small subunit ribosomal RNA
Source: RNAcentral
UACGUAGGUGGCAAGCGUUAUCCGGAUUUACUGGGUGUAAAGGGCGUGUAGGCGGGGAAGCAAGUCAGAUGUGAAAACCAUGGGCUCAACUCAUGGCCUGCAUUUGAAACUGUUUUUCUUGAGUACUGGAGAGGCAGACGGAAUUCCUAGUGUAGCGGUGAAAUGCGUAGAUAUUAGGAGGAACACCAGUGGCGAAGGCGGUCUGCUGGACAGCAACUGACGCUGAGGCGCGAAAGCGUGGGGAGCAAACAGG